RNAcentral lists this transfer RNA (59 nucleotides) under Brassica napus (rape). It matches the Rfam family "tRNA", at positions 7 to 64 of the family's 71-position model. From Rfam's summary of the family: Transfer RNA (tRNA) molecules are approximately 80 nucleotides in length. Their secondary structure includes four short double-helical elements and three loops (D, anti-codon, and T loops). The record is from Rfam by way of RNAcentral. Lineage: Eukaryota; Viridiplantae; Streptophyta; Magnoliopsida; Brassicales; Brassicaceae.
GUAGCUCUGUAGUAGAGCGGUCGGCUGUCAACUGAUUGGUCGUAAGUUCGAAUCCUACC